RNAcentral lists this ribosomal RNA (301 nucleotides) under uncultured bacterium. RNAcentral describes it as "partial 16S ribosomal RNA". It matches the Rfam family "Bacterial small subunit ribosomal RNA", at positions 509 to 807 of the family's 1533-position model. The record is from RNAcentral.
CAGUAGCCGCGGUAAUACGAAGGGUGCAAGCGUUACUCGGAAUUACUGGGCGUAAAGCGUGCGUAGGUGGUUGUUUAAGUCUGCUGUGAAAGCCCUGGGCUCAACCUGGGAAUUGCAGUGGAUACUGGGCGACUAGAGUAAGGUAGAGGAUAGUGGAAUUUCCGGUGUAGCAGUGAAAUGCGUAGAGAUCGGAAGGAACAUCUGUGGCGAAGGCGACUAUCUGGGCCAUUACUGACACUGAGGCACGAAAGCGUGGGGAGCAAACAGGAUUAAAUACCCCGGUAGUCCCUGUCUCUUAUAC